This 374-nucleotide ribosomal RNA is filed under the name uncultured bacterium. Its description in RNAcentral is "bacterial SSU rRNA". It matches the Rfam family "Bacterial small subunit ribosomal RNA", at positions 527 to 898 of the family's 1533-position model. The record is from RNAcentral.
GUAGGGUGCGAGCGUUGUCCGGAAUUAUUGGGCGUAAAGGGCUCGUAGGCGGUUUGUCGCGUCGGGAGUGAAAACACCGGGCUUAACUCGGUGCUUGCUUUCGAUACGGGCAGACUAGAGGCAUGCAGGGGAGAACGGAAUUCCUGGUGUAGCGGUGAAAUGCGCAGAUAUCAGGAGGAACACCGGUGGCGAAGGCGGUUCUCUGGGCAUGUCCUGACGCUGAGGAGCGAAAGUGUGGGGAGCGAACAGGAUUAGAUACCCUGGUAGUCCACACCGUAAACGUUGGGCGCUAGGUGUGGGAUCCAUUCCACGGGUUCCGUGCCGCAGCUAACGCAUUAAGCGCCCCGCCUGGGGAGUACGGCCGCAAGGCUAAA